Molecule: transfer RNA, 69 nt
Filed under: Crunomys whiteheadi (Whitehead's spiny rat)
Lineage: Eukaryota; Metazoa; Chordata; Mammalia; Rodentia; Muridae
Also listed under: 3 other names
Description: Maxomys whiteheadi (Whitehead's spiny rat) tRNA-Ser
Rfam family: tRNA
About the family: Transfer RNA (tRNA) molecules are approximately 80 nucleotides in length. Their secondary structure includes four short double-helical elements and three loops (D, anti-codon, and T loops). Further hydrogen bonds mediate the characteristic L-shaped molecular structure. tRNAs have two regions of fundamental functional importance: the anti-codon, which is responsible for specific mRNA codon recognition, and the 3' end, to which the tRNAs corresponding amino acid is attached (by aminoacyl-tRNA synthetases). tRNAs cope with the degeneracy of the genetic code in two manners: having more than one tRNA (with a specific anti-codon) for a particular amino acid; and 'wobble' base-pairing, i.e. permitting non-standard base-pairing at the 3rd anti-codon position.
Source: RNAcentral
GAGAAAGACAUAGUGGUUAUGGGAUUGGCUUGAAACCAGUUUUAGGGGGUUCGAAUCCUUCCUUUCUUA